CAGCAGCCGCGGGAAUACGAAGGGGGCUAGCGUUGUUCGGAUUUACUGGGCGUAAAGCGCACGUAGGCGGAUCGAUCAGUCAGGGGUGAAACCCCAGAGCUCAACUCUGGAACUGCCUUUGAUACUGUCGAUCUGGAGUAUGGAAGAGGUGAGUGGAAUUCCGAGUGUGGAGGUGAAAUUCGUAGAUAUUCGGAGGAACACCAGUGGCGAAGGCGGCUCACUGGUCCAUUACUGACGCUGAGGUGCGAAAGCGUGGGGAGCAAACAGGAUUAGAUACCCCUGUAGUCCCUGUCUCUUAUAC
Molecule: ribosomal RNA, 301 nt
Filed under: uncultured bacterium
Lineage: Bacteria
Description: partial 16S ribosomal RNA
Rfam family: Bacterial small subunit ribosomal RNA
Source: RNAcentral